Molecule: long non-coding RNA, 279 nt
Filed under: Hordeum vulgare
Lineage: Eukaryota; Viridiplantae; Streptophyta; Magnoliopsida; Poales; Poaceae
Description: long non-coding RNA (HVUL_LNC009039)
Source: RNAcentral
AACAAUAGAAUGGCAAUUUGGGAUUCAACUGUCAUCUCAUAAAUAAUAUCAGAGUUUACAUCACGCAUUCAAACAAGGUAGUUCCGCUACGGACUACAAAACAUGAGAAAUGGCUAUGCUACCCUGCAUGCUUGCCCACGAUCACGACCACGCCUUAGUCUUCUGGAUAGUUCACGUACACGCGGUCGUUCUCCUCAUCGUACUGCCACACCAGCUGUUGGGGAUAUUACCUAUGGGUAACCCGCCCUUAAUGGGCCGGGUCACAAAAGGGGCGACUCA